Molecule: ribosomal RNA, 642 nt
Filed under: Trichoderma harzianum
Lineage: Eukaryota; Fungi; Ascomycota; Sordariomycetes; Hypocreales; Hypocreaceae
Description: eukaryotic LSU rRNA
Rfam family: 5.8S ribosomal RNA (bases 257-410)
Source: RNAcentral
AAGUAAAAAGUCGUAACAAGGUCUCCGUUGGUGAACCCAGCGGGAGGGAUCAUUACCGAGUUUACAACUCCCAAACCCAAUGUGAACGUUACCAAACUGUUGCCUCGGCGGGAUCUCUGCCCCGGGUGCGUCGCAGCCCCGGACCAAGGCGCCCGCCGGAGGACCAACCAAAACUCUUAUUGUAUACCCCCUCGCGGGUUUUUUUAUAAUCUGAGCCUUCUCGGCGCCUCUCGUAGGCGUUUCGAAAAUGAAUCAAAACUUUCAACAACGGAUCUCUUGGUUCUGGCAUCGAUGAAGAACGCAGCGAAAUGCGAUAAGUAAUGUGAAUUGCAGAAUUCAGUGAAUCAUCGAAUCUUUGAACGCACAUUGCGCCCGCCAGUAUUCUGGCGGGCAUGCCUGUCCGAGCGUCAUUUCAACCCUCGAACCCCUCCGGGGGGUCGGCGUUGGGGAUCGGCCCUGCCUUGGCGGUGGCCGUCUCCGAAAUACAGUGGCGGUCUCGCCGCAGCCUCUCCUGCGCAGUAGUUUGCACACUCGCAUCGGGAGCGCGGCGCGUCCACAGCCGUUAAACACCCAACUUCUGAAAUGUUGACCUCGGAUCAGGUAGGAAUACCCGCUGAACUUAAGCAUAUCAAUAAGCGGAGG